AGUGACUGAAUUAGUAACAGUACCCAGAUAAUUUACCCCACCCCACGCCCCAAAGGAGCAAAAUGAAGCUCUUUCUUUCCAACUCCCUAAGUCCCCACCGCCACCCUGCACCGCCGCCUCAAUCAACCAUGAACACAAAGCUACCUCGUUUAAUUCCCCCUUUAUCUUCCAAUUUACUCACCAAAACUUCCCAUCUCUUCAUUCAACCCCACAAAACUACACGUUAUUCAACACAUUCACUCCAAACUCUCCAAAAUUCCCUCAAUACCAACAACCCCCUCAUCACCAAUAUAUGCAAUUCCCUACACAAAGGUGAAAAUUGGGAAUCUUUAACAGAAAAGUUCCAAUCUUUACACUUCACUACCCCCAAAACUUCCCAUUUCUUCAUUCAACCCCACAAAAAUUCAUAUUCAACACAUUCACUCCAAGUUCCCACCAAUAUCAACAACCCCAUCAUCACUUCUAUCUGCAAUUCCUUACGCAAAGGUGAAAAUUGGGAAUCUUUAACCAAAAAGUUCCAGUCUUUUCACUUCACUCCCUCAAUUAUUCAAGAAAUACUCUUACAUCUCAAAGAACCAAUUGAUGCUAAAAAUGCCCUCAAUUUCUUUCAUUGGUCAGCUAAAAAUUCGAAUACUCGACAUGGGGUUUUUAUUUAUUGUGUUAUAAUUCAUAUUCUUGCAAAAUCUAAGCUUGUUAGACAUGCUAAUGCAUUGAUUGAAUCUGCUUUGAGAAAUGAGACAUUAUUUGUUGUUCUUGAUUCUUUAAUUGGGAGUUAUAAGUUAGUCGAUUCGUGUCCGUUUGUGUUUGAUUUGUUUGUGCAAAGUUGUGCUAAGUUGAGAUUGAUAGAUAAGAGUUUGGAUGUUUGUAAAUUGUUGGAUGAAAAUGGAUUUAUGUUAAGUGUCAUUAGUUAUAAUACUUUGCUACAUGUAGUGCAAAAGUCCGAAAAGACUUGUAUGGUUUGGGGUAUAUAUGAGUAUAUGAUUGAGAAAAGGAUAUACCCGAACGAAAUGACAACUAGAAUUAUGAUUAGUGCAUUGUGUAAAGAAGGGAGGUUGCAGAGAUUUUUGGAUGUUGUCGAAAAAAGUCAUGGAAAAAGAUGUCAACAACCCGGGGUUGUUGUGAAUACGUGUUUGAUUUAUGGGAUGAUUGAGGAAGAUAGAAUCGAAGACGGGUUGAGGUUGAUGAAGAGAAUGUUGCAAAAGAAUAUGAUACUCGAUACGAUUUCUUGUUCUUUGGUCGUUCUUGCAAAGGUGAAGACGAGAGAUUUGGAGUCCGCUUGGGGAGUUUACGAUGAAAUGGUUAGGCGGGGUUUUGAAGGGAAUGCGCUAGUGUACGAUUCGUUUAUUGGUGCAUAUUGUGAGGAAGAGCGAAUAGAUGAAGCAAUUAAGCUGAUGGAUGAAAUGGAGUGUUUGAAUAUGAAACCAUUUGAUGAAACGUUCAAUCAUUUGAUUAAGGUUUGUUCGGAAGUGGGAAGAUUAGAAGAAAGCUUGAAAUUUUGUGAUAAAAUGAUAGCAUAUGGUUUCGUUCCUAGUUGUUUAUCGUUUAACAAACUUGUUGCCAAGCUUUGUGAAAAUGGAAAUGCCAAGUGUGCUGAUCAACUAUUGACUAAACUGAUGGAUAAGGGUUUCGUUCCGGAUCAAAGCAUGUAUGCUUACCUCAUUGCUGGCUAUGCCAACGUAGGUGAUGUUGAGGGAGCACUUAAGCUUUACUACGAAAUGCAAUUUAGGUCGAUCUCUCCGAAUGCUUCGAUUUUUGAUUCAUUAAUUAUUGCUUUGUGUCAACGUGGAAGAUUGAAAGAAGCGGACGAGUUUCUAUCUUUAAUGAUUGGUCAAUCCUUGAAACCGGGCAUUCAUGUUUAUAAAAAAUUGAUCGCAAGCCACUUGGAUAGGGGCGAUGAAACACGGGCUCAUCACCUGUACCGACAAAGACGUACAGAGAUUGACAACAUACGGUAAAUUAGUUUCUGAGCUUCCAGUUGAUUUGAAGCUCAGAAAGAUUGAUUCAACACUAUGAUUUACUGUAAUUUGUAAGACCAAAAUGAGAACUAGUCCUGAUGUUUUUAAGUAGAAACGGUGGUGAAGAGUGAGGGGAAAUAUAUUACUCCGUAGUAAAUCAGACUAAUUCACAGGUGUUUUUUUCUCCCUUAAUUGGUGGAAAAAAGAAGCUGGAGCGCAAAGAACUUGAUGCAAGCUGGCAUAAUUCCUUCACUGUUUAAGCUGUCUUCACACUCCUGUUACAGGUAAUUUAUUAUUAACAAAGAUUUUAGAAAUGGAGGCACCCCUGUGUGAACAUCCCAGUUGUAGAAUUGUAGAUGUUAGAGAAAGACGAUGAAAAGCUGCUUCAUUUUCUCUUUCCCUCUGGUUCACUGAGCUAAGCCCAGUCGAUUUUGAAGAGUUUAGUCUGUCUUAUUUAAAACAGAUAGUGCAUACGGUGAAGCUAACUCGUCCUGAUUUCCCACUGAUUCUUUACUCAAGUGGAUCUGGCGGCUUGCUUGACAGACUACCCUUGACUGGUGUAGAUGUAGUAAGCUUGGAUUGGACAGUUGAUAUGGCUGAUGGAAGGAGACAACUGGGUCCUGAUGUGGCCGUACAAGGCAAUGUGGAUCCUGGAGUCCUUGUGGCUCAAAGGAAUGUAUGUCGAAUAAAUGAUACUGUCAAGAAAGCUGGUAAAGGGAAACAUCUUUUGAACCUUGGACAUGGCAUCAAAGUAGGCACACCUGACGAAAAUUUUGCUCACUUCUUUGAGAUUGCUGAAGGACUUAGGGAAUGGCACUAUCAGGUCUUGGAAGGACAAGUGGACAGGAAACUCCAUUAUGCAGGAAGCAUUUCCCACCAUUUUCAAUCUAGCCCAGGAUCCGGAUGCUGUCAUUGCAACUUACAAAGAAGGGACUAACUGGAAUAUCAUGCUUAGAAGGGAUUUGUAUGACUGGGAAUUCUCUGAGUUGCUAAACCUCCUCUCUAGUCUACAGCAAGGCUUCCUUAACCCAUUGGCAGCAGACAGACUCAAAUGGGGGUAAACAGUCCCCCAAGGUCAUUUGUUACACCUGGACAGUUCUGAAUGAGGCUUGCCUUCGAAUAAUUUGAUGAAAAAGAAAAUUGAGUUACCCAACAGGUGUUAUAUUUGUAAAAAAGAAGCUGCAAAUCCUGGCCAUAUUUUUCUACAUUGUGAAGUUGUCUCUGAUUUGGGGAGCAUGUUUAUGUGCAUUUCUGUACUCAAAUGGGUCGUUCCUCAAUCAGUAAGGGAAACAUAUAUGUCCUGGUGUGUGUGGAGAGUUGAUAAAUCCAUCCAGAAUAUCUGGAGAAUGAUGCUUGCUUGCAUUUUUGGAGUAUUUGGUUAGAGAGGGCUCGUUUGGUACGAGGGAUAAGGAUAAAUAAUCCUGGGAUUAUAUUUGAGAUGAGUUUAUCCCAUGUUUGGUUGAGAUAAAAUCGCGGUAUAACUAAUCCCGGGAUUAGUUAUUCCGGGAUCGUAGUGUUAUUUUAUCCCUGUGGGAGGGUGGAAUAACUAAUCUCAGAAUAAGUUAUCCUGAGAUAACUAGUUUCCAACCAAACGACCCCUAAAUUUAUUGCUAGUUUAUUUAGUUGGUCCUGUUUGACCUCAAUAAAUAGUCCAGAUCAGUUGCUGGACUUCACUAGCUUCUUAGCUGUGGCUUAGUCAGUUUUUGUACAGAAGCCAGAUCUGUAAGCUUCAAUGACAUAUCUUGUAACUACUGCAUCUUCUUGAUUAUGUUCUCCCUACCCUCCAAUA
Molecule: RNA transcript, 3744 nt
Organism: Lycium barbarum (goji berry)
Lineage: Eukaryota; Viridiplantae; Streptophyta; Magnoliopsida; Solanales; Solanaceae
Gene name: uroporphyrinogen decarboxylase, chloroplastic-like
Exons: 2
Source: RefSeq, a predicted model, not a curated record